RNAcentral lists this unclassified non-coding RNA (358 nucleotides) under soil metagenome. RNAcentral describes it as "partial contains 5.8S ribosomal RNA, internal transcribed spacer 2, and large subunit ribosomal RNA". The stretch from base 1 to 120 matches the Rfam family "5.8S ribosomal RNA", at positions 35 to 154 of the family's 154-position model. The record is from RNAcentral.
GAUGAAGAACGUAGCGAAAUGCGAUAAGUAAUGUGAAUUGCAGAAUUCAGUGAAUCAUCGAAUCUUUGAACGCACAUUGCGCCCGUCAGUAUUCUGGCGGGCAUGCCUGUUCGAGCGUCAUUACGCCCCUCAAGUCCCCUGUGGACUUGGUGUUGGGGAUCGGCGAGGCUGGUUUUCCAGCACAGCCGUCCCUUAAAUUAAUUGGCGGUCUCGCCGUGGCCCUCCUCUGCGCAGUAGUAAAACACUCGCAACAGGAGCCCGGCGCGGUCCACUGCCGUAAAACCCCCCAACUUUUUAUAGUUGACCUCGAAUCAGGUAGGGAUACCCGCUGAACUUAAGCAUAUCAAUAAGCGGAGGA